This 228-nucleotide long non-coding RNA is filed under the name Parus major (Great Tit). RNAcentral's name for it is "lncRNA (ENSPMJG00000005193.1)". Lineage: Eukaryota; Metazoa; Chordata; Aves; Passeriformes; Paridae. The record is from RNAcentral.
AAACUCUGAGCUUCUCUGCCACGACUGUGGCUAACACACUGAUGGCGCCGAUGGUAAGAGAAUGCUCCCAGUGAAGAAUGUUCCUUCCAUCUAUUUAUGGCUGCCUGCAGAUGGUCUCUGCCUUGAGUAUUUUAAGACUGUGCUGAGGAGAAUUGCUAGGAUUUGGAUGUCCAACUUCGCAGAGUGAACCUCCAGAGGUUCAGAAAACUCUUGAAUAUGUAACAAAUA